This 501-nucleotide unclassified non-coding RNA is filed under the name Hevea brasiliensis (rubber tree). The record is from RNAcentral. Lineage: Eukaryota; Viridiplantae; Streptophyta; Magnoliopsida; Malpighiales; Euphorbiaceae.
AAGGAAUAGAAGAAGAGAGAAGAGUGGAGAAAGAAUAGAAUUUACGAAGAAAAGAAUGAGAAUUUCAUUGAUAAUAUUCUGGAAUGACCAUCUCAGAGCUAUUACAGCUCUUUUUAUAUCCUAAUUCCUGCCAACUACAAGUUGGACAUCUAGUAACUGCCUCUAAUUAAUUUCCCUCUAAAUGCAAGCUGAUUUUUGUUGACUUUUCUUGCUUUCAUACCUAUAACUGCCCUUCUCUUUAUUUUCUUUAUUCCUAUACCUCUUCUUAUGUAACAAUACCCCCUCCUUGAGAACGUUCUUGUCCCCAAGAACGUUUAAAAUCUAGAAAUUGAGCUUGAAUGAAGGUUCUAUCCUCCCAAGUAGCAUCUUCAAGUGACAAAUUUGUUCACUGAAUAAAAUCUUGUAUGACCUGUUGGUGAUUCCUGAAGAAUGGUUCUUGUUUGCAACACUUUUUUUUCUUCCUGCACUAUAGAAGACUAAUUUCUUUCUUUGCCUUCUUGA